UCCGGUUUGUCACCGGCAGUCUCAUUAGAGUGCCCUUUCGUAGCAACUAAUGACAAGGGUUGCGCUCGUUGCGGGACUUAACCCAACAUCUCACGACACGAGCUGACGACAGCCAUGCAGCACCUGUGCACCUCCCACCCGAAGUGAAGAGCUCCUUUUCGGGAGCUCAUAGAGGGCAUGUCAAAGCCUGGUAAGGUUCUUCGCGUUGCCUCGAAUUAAACCACAUGUUCCACCGCUUGUGCGGGUCCCCGUCAAUUUCUUUGAGUUUUAAUCUUGCGACCGUACUCCCCAGGCGGCAUACUUAACGCGUUAGCGUCGACACUGCAGGGGUCAAUACCCGCAACAUCUAGUGCUCAUCGUUUACGGCGUGGACUAC
This 376-nucleotide unclassified non-coding RNA is filed under the name uncultured Pseudomonadota bacterium. Its description in RNAcentral is "uncultured proteobacterium contains 16S-23S intergenic spacer region". Lineage: Bacteria; Pseudomonadati; Pseudomonadota. The record is from RNAcentral.